This 1462-nucleotide ribosomal RNA is filed under the name synthetic construct. RNAcentral's name for it is "bacterial SSU rRNA". It matches the Rfam family "Bacterial small subunit ribosomal RNA". RNAcentral also lists the same sequence under 1 other name. The record is from RNAcentral.
CAUGCAAGUCGAACGGUAACAGGAAGCAGCUUGCUGCUUUGCUGACGAGUGGCGUUUUNGGUGAGUAAUGUCUGGGAAACUGCCCGAUGGAGGGGGAUAACUACUGGAAACGGUAGCUAAUACCGCAUAAUGUCGCAAGACCAAAGAGGGGGACCUUCGGGCCUCUUGCCAUCGGAUGUGCCCAGAUGGGAUUAGCUAGUUGGUGAGGUAACGGCUCACCAAGGCGACGAUCCCUAGCUGGUCUGAGAGGAUGACCAGCCACACUGGAACUGAGACACGGUCCAGACUCCUACGGGAGGCAGCAGUGGGGAAUAUUGCACAAUGGGCGCAAGCCUGAUGCAGCCAUGCCGCGUGUAUGAAGAAGGCCUUCGGGUUGUAAAGUACUUUCAGCGGGGAGGAAGGGGUUAAGGUUAAUAACCUUAGCCAUUGACGUUACCCGCAGAAGAAGCACCGGCUAACUCCGUGCCAGCAGCCGCGGUAAUACGGAGGGUGCAAGCGUUAAUCGGAAUUACUGGGCGUAAAGCGCACGCAGGCGGUCUGUCAAGUCGGAUGGUGAAAUCCCCGGGCUCAACCUGGGAACUGCAUUCGAAACUGGCAGGCUUGAGUCUCGUAGAGGGGGGUAGAAUUCCAGGUGUAGCGGUGAAAUGCGUAGAGAUCUGGAGGAAUACCGGUGGCGAAGGCGGCCCCCUGGACGAAGACUGACGCUCAGGUGCGAAAGCGUGGGGAGCAAACAGGAUUAGAUACCCUGGUAGUCCACGCUGUAAACGAUGUCGAUUUAGAGGUUGUGGUCUUGAACCGUGGCUUCUGGAGCUAACGCGUUAAAUCGAUCGCCUGGGGAGUACGGCCGCAAGGUUAAAACUCAAAUGAAUUGACGGGGGCCCGCACAAGCGGUGGAGCAUGUGGUUUAAUUCGAUGCAACGCGAAAAACCUUACCUACUCUUGACAUCCAGCGAAUCCUUUAAAGAUAAAGAAGUGCCUUCGGGAACGCUGAGACAGGUGCUGCAUGGCUGUCGUCAGCUCGUGUUGUGAAAUGUUGGGUUAAGUCCCGCAACGAGCGCAACCCUUAUCCUUUGUUGCCAGCACNUGUAUGGUGGGAACUCAAAGGAGACUGCCGGUGGUAAACCGGAGGAAGGUGGGGAUGACGUCAAGUCAUCAUGGCCCUUACGAGUAGGGCUACACACGUGCUACAAUGGCAGAUACAAAGAGAAGCGACCUCGCGAGAGCAAGCUGGAACUCAUAAAGUCUGUCGUAGUCCGGAUUGGAGUCUGCAACUCGACUCCAUGAAGUCGGAAUCGCUAGUAAUCGUAGAUCAGAAUGCUACGGUGAAUACGUUCCCGGGCCUUGUACACACCGCCCGUCACACCAUGGGAGUGGGUUGCAAAAGAAGUAGGUAGCUUAACCUUCGGGAGGGCGCUUACCACUUUGUGAUUCAUGACUGGGGUGAAGUCGUAACAAGGUAACC